Molecule: ribosomal RNA, 477 nt
Filed under: uncultured bacterium
Lineage: Bacteria
Description: partial 16S ribosomal RNA
Rfam family: Bacterial small subunit ribosomal RNA
Source: RNAcentral
GAUGAACGCUGGCGGCGUGCUUAACACAUGCAAGUCGAACGAAGCACUUUAACCUGAUUCUUCGGAUGAAGGUUUUUGUGACUGAGUGGCGGACGGGUGAGUAACGCGUGGGUAACCUGCCUCAUACAGGGGGAUAACAGUUAGAAAUGACUGCUAAUACCGCAUAAGACCACAGAGCCGCAUGGCUCGGUGGGAAAAACUCCGGUGGUAUGAGAUGGACCCGCGUCUGAUUAGGUAGUUGGUGGGGUAACGGCCUACCAAGCCAACGAUCAGUAGCCGACCUGAGAGGGUGACCGGCCACAUUGGGACUGAGACACGGCCCAAACUCCUACGGGAGGCAGCAGUGGGGAAUAUUGCACAAUGGGGGAAACCCUGAUGCAGCGACGCCGCGUGAGCGAAGAAGUAUUUCGGUAUGUAAAGCUCUAUCAGCAGGGAAGAAAAUGACGGUACCUGACUAAGAAGCACCGGCUAAAUACG